GAACUGUAAUAACAUCAUCUGGGUCAUUUACAUCCAGACAUCGCUUCUGCUUGAGUUUACAGGUCACAGGUGACACUUGGUGUUGUUUGAUUAGCUGUGAAUGACGCAAUAACUUCUAUUUCGAUAAACACAAAUCACCUGCAUGAUAACUUCGUGACUAAC
This is a long non-coding RNA of Amphimedon queenslandica, 162 nucleotides long. RefSeq lists it as uncharacterized. Lineage: Eukaryota; Metazoa; Porifera; Demospongiae; Haplosclerida; Niphatidae. The record is from RefSeq and is a predicted model, not a curated record. The transcript has 3 exons.